This 368-nucleotide ribosomal RNA is filed under the name uncultured bacterium. RNAcentral's name for it is "bacterial SSU rRNA". It matches the Rfam family "Bacterial small subunit ribosomal RNA", at positions 1147 to 1501 of the family's 1533-position model. The record is from RNAcentral.
ACUGCCGGGUGAUAAACCGGAGGGAAGGUGGGGAUGACGUCAAGUCAGCAUGGCCUUUAUGUCUGGGGGCUACACACGUGCUACAAUGGCAGAUACAGACCGUCGCGAGACCGCAAGGUGGAGCUAAUCGGAGGAAAGUCUGUCUCAGUUCGGAUUGGCAGGCUGCGAACUCGCCUGCAUGAAUGUUGGAAUCGUUAGUAAUCGCGGAUCAGCAUGCCGCGGUGAAUACGUUCCCGGGCCUUGUACACACCGCCCGUCACAUCACGAAAGCUGGCUGUACCAGAAGUCGCCGAGCUAACCCGCAAGGGAGGCAUAGCUGCCUGUAGGUAUGGUUAGUGAUUGGGGUGAAGUCUGUAAUCAAGGUAACC